Molecule: transfer RNA, 64 nt
Filed under: Cavia porcellus (domestic guinea pig)
Lineage: Eukaryota; Metazoa; Chordata; Mammalia; Rodentia; Caviidae
Rfam family: tRNA
About the family: Transfer RNA (tRNA) molecules are approximately 80 nucleotides in length.
Source: Rfam by way of RNAcentral
GGGGAUUUAGCUCAGCGGCAUAAGCGCCUGCCUUGCAAGCAGGUAGUCGUGAGUUCGAUCCCCC